This is a non-coding RNA of Picea glauca (white spruce), 122 nucleotides long. Lineage: Eukaryota; Viridiplantae; Streptophyta; Pinopsida; Pinales; Pinaceae. The record is from Rfam.
AUGUAAUGUAAUUCCUACAACGUUAAUGCACCAAAUCAUGUUAGAACUCCAUAGUUAAGCAUGCUUAGGAUAGAGUAGUAUUGGGAUGGGUGACCUUCCGAGAAGUAUUAAUGUUUUACAUG